RNAcentral lists this ribosomal RNA (600 nucleotides) under Proteus mirabilis. RNAcentral's name for it is "bacterial SSU rRNA". It matches the Rfam family "Bacterial small subunit ribosomal RNA", at positions 532 to 1130 of the family's 1533-position model. Lineage: Bacteria; Pseudomonadati; Pseudomonadota; Gammaproteobacteria; Enterobacterales; Morganellaceae. The record is from RNAcentral.
CGGGUAACGCUUAUCGGAUUACUGGGCGUAAGCGCACGCAGGCGGUCAUAUUAAAGUCAGAUGUGAAAUCCCCGAGCUUACUUGGGAAUUGCAUCUGAAACUGGUUGGCUAGAGUCUUGUAGAGGGGGGUAGAAUUCCAUGUGUAGCGGUGAAAUGCGUAGAGAUGUGGAGGAAUACCGGUGGCGAAGGCGGCCCCCUGGACAAAGACUGACGCUCAGGUGCGAAAGCGUGGGGAGCAAACAGGAUUAGAUACCCUGGUAGUCCACGCUGUAAACGAUGUCGAUUUAGAGGUUGUGGUCUUGAACCGUGGCUUCCGGAGCUAACGCGUUAAAUCGACCGCCUGGGGAGUACGGCCGCAAGGUUAAAACUCAAAUGAAUUGACGGGGGCCCGCACAAGCGGUGGAGCAUGUGGUUUAAUUCGAUGCAACGCGAAAAACCUUACCUACUCUUGACAUCCCCAGAAUCCUUUAGAGAUACAUUAUUGCCUUCGGGAACGCUGAUACAGGUGCUGCAUGGUGGUCGUCAACUCGUGGUGGGUAUUGUUGGGUUAAGUCCAAUAAAAAAGCGCAACCCCCUAUCCUUUGGGGGCCCCCCGUUAUU